GAGUAACAGAAUACAUGUAACAGGAUUACGUAUUUAAAAUACAAAGUAUAAGUAACUUUCCACUACAGUUACAAUUUAAAAUAAUUUGAAUACAGUUACAUUCAAAAAGUAUUUUGAUUACUGAAGAGAUUACUUUGCAUUUUAUUGUCAUUUGUUUCAUUUAAUAUUUAGUCCUUUCAGAUGGAAAAUAUUUAUACAUAUAAAUGAUGUGAUCCAAAGUGCAUUUGAACAGCAGUGAAACACUUUCUUAUGAUGUGUUACAUUCAUACGAGCAGACAGAGAAGUCAGUUUGAAGUAAGUUUGGAGCAGAAGAAAUAGAAAUAAACCUUGUGUAAAUUGUCAGCUUUACGCUAAGCUAAAAUGCUAUUUCUAGCCAUUUUACAUGCACAUUACCAGGCACGAUCAUAUUUUUUAUCAAGAAAAUUCACAUUGGAUCAUAAUUUCUUUGUUCUAGUAAAAUAUUUGAUAUUAGGGCAAAAAUCUAAAAAAAUCCUUCAAACAAGAUCAAUUUGAUUUAUCUUGUUUUAGAAACAACAUUGCAUAAGAUAUUUCGGUUUUUCAGAGAAUGUAUUUUUAACAUGUGUAUUUUGUCUUACUGUACUGGCAGUUUUUAUAGUCAAAACAAGUGAAAAAAUCUACCAGUGCUGAAGAAGUAAUCCAAAGUAUUUAGAAUACGUUACUGACCUUGAGUAAUCUAAUGGAAUACGUUACAAAUUACAUUUUACAGCAUGUAUUCUGUAAUCUGUAGUGGAAUACAUUUCAAAAGUAACCCUCCCAACCCUGUAUGUAUAUGUAUGUGUGUGUAUAUAUAUAUAUAUAUAAAUCUUUUUUUCACAUGCGCAAUUGAAGCCUAGGUGACAACAACAAUCAUGCAUGCUUGCAUUCAUCAAAAAACAAAAAACAAACAAAAAAAAUGGUUACAUCUACAGUAACUGGCAAAAUCAAUGGGAGCGAUCUAAACUAGAAGUUGAUGGACACUUUUUGUUUUUGAUGCACUGCACAGCUACUCUAGAUACUUUAUUUUGCAUGUCUGUCUGUAAUAGUGAUUUUAUUUGGAAAACAUAGAUGAAUGGGUGUUUCUUCUACAGUGGGCGCUCUACACAGUUUUCCUUUGCUGAAAAUGUUUGCUUUUGAGAAGAAUACAAUGCUUCAAAAUCGAUUCUAAUGAAAUAAUUGAGUGAUUUUAACCCAAAUAAGAAAAACACAAGAAAUGUUGUUACCAUUGUAGAAGUAAAAGUCUUCUAGAAAGUCUCAACUGAAGCCUCCACUGGCUCAGAUGUUCCUUGAAUGCAAAAUAGAAUGUAAACUGAAGUUAGCCUCAGAGUUUGCCAUCUUACAUUUUGGUCUUUAAAUAGACUGAUUUAAGUUUUUAUGCAACUGACUGAAAAAAGUUAAGAACAAAAUUUUAGAUGACUAACUAGUUAGACUAGUCUAAAACAAUUUUAUGCAACCGGCCACUGGAUUCAAACUCUCGACUCCAGGGGUGGUUGCAGGGCUGCCCAUUUUACAGUUUUAGCCUUGUUCUAUACCCAGAUUUUAAUAUUAAACUAUGAAAAUCCAUUAUAAAAAUACAAAUUACUGUAUGUUUAAAACAUGUUAAUAUAAACAGAGAGUAAAAUGAUGUAACAAACCAUUUAAAUGAUUUUUUCAAAAACUAUGACUGUCCCACAGUCGCCAAACAAGUUUGUUUUAUUAUUUUUUUUAAUUAAAAGUGAUGUUAAAAGAAAUCAAAGAAAAUUCCAAGGUAAAAUCUACUUGAAGUCCAUAGUGCUUAAAGUGCCCGAAGUUAAAGAAACACCCAUGUAUUAAAUUUCAGACAUGUCUGGACUGGCUGCGAUUUUGUCGUGUUUAGAGUUUUUGCUUUGAGAGUGGACAAAAAAACUAAAAUAAUUGUUGGAAACAUGUGGCAUCAUCCUUGGUGAGGACAUACUGUUAUUGAGUGUAUGAAACCUCCACUGUUACACAAUGUCCUAACCAGCCAAUACUGUGACAAAACACUUUAUCGAUCGCUUGUUUUUUUUAUUUUUGUUGUGGCACAUUGGUUAGCCCUGCCCACAGCUUCUUGUUGGUCCAAAUACCCACACCAAAUGAAAAAUGGUAUUGAUUUUGUCAGCAUUUUCACUUACAGUGUGAACAGAAAUUACAUAAUACUGGAAACUUGACCUGGUUGGGACAUGUCAGAAUAAUAAGCCAGUUUCUUUGGAAAUUAUAGCAUCUGACUCAGGGUUCAGACUUACUUUGCAAGGUUGCAGUAAAAGAUGAACCGUCGCUUAGCAUAGGUAAGCAUAUAUUUUAUUGGAUUCUUUCAGCUGCUGUGGUUGCCAUGGAUUCCUGCUACAGUCUGAAUGCUGAAGGCACACACAAUGCCAUACUGCAAGCACCAGACACCCAGAGGAAUACAUAGGGUGCCAGCAAAGGGAUGUGAUGGGUGGGAAACCAUUCUGCUCUAAUGGCAAUGAAGAGCCAUUAUUUGGACACAAGGUCACUAUUGGGUCAUGCAAGAGUACAAAUUACAGUGACUGCAGAUUAUGGGCAGAUCUUAACCGGGACAAAGUGUGGAGAUGGUUUGAGGGCUGCAUUGCAAUAGGCAUCGGUUUGGGAUUAGGUGUCUAUAUUCUUGUUUUGGCUAUUUCCAUGGUCCUCAAACUAAGAACCCUUCGCUCCAGGCACAAGAGGUACUGAUUCAACGUUACUGUGAACUUGUGAAGCAAGUAAGUUUGGCCAAAAUGGCUAAUUGCAAUGGAAAAUUCUGCCAAAAUGGGUAUGUCCAAGCUUGAACUACAUUAAAAAUCCUUUACUGCAUGUUUCUUAUUUUCUCUUUCGCAAGUCGCCAACUGGUCAAGCAAACGAUUACCUCAAAUUAUAAGCAGACUGGGCAAGUGUACAGUAUUCAAAUGAACCUAACACUGGCAAGGUCCUAGAAUCAAUGGGUACUAGAAUUCAUUGUAUAUAACUAAAUUAACAGUUAGUGCAAGAUAACAUUCACAUUCUGCUUUAAAUGUUUAAGAUGCCAGGUAAACUAAACCCACAAGUCGGAGACAGAGCCCUAGUGAUGAGGCCACAUUUGUAAAACCACCUGGGUUAAAAUGGCCAAACCAGCAAGUGUCAGUGAGACAGCAGAGGGAGCUCUCUGCACGUUCUUUCUCUUAUGAACAGAGCAAUUUGAGGUCAUAGUUGGAUGUUUGAAGCAAAAGAUACAGGGGUUUUAUUUGCGAAACUUUUUUUUUGAUGUUUCAUCCAUAGUGGGCAAUUAAAUGAAGUAGUUUGCACUGCUGAUACACAUAGGAACUGUGUUUAAUUGAACACUAAAACAGCAAGAGUGAGAUAUCACUCAAAUUUGCACAGAAAAGGAUGUAUUAUGUAUUACUUUGGUAAUAAAGUGCUUUUACUGUGUGUGUGUGUGUGAUUAAAUAGUUUUUGAAAGCUGUGACUAAAGUAUCCAAUUCUCCAAACUAAAAUUCCAAUAUCAUACUUUGUUAUAGUUCGAUAAAAACAAGUGAAUGCAAUAAACCACACUAGCAAGGGUCUACUAGAUAAUGAAGGCAGAUUUUAACUUCAAUACAACAAUACAAGUGUUUGUCAUAAAUGUCAAGUUGGGGCAAUUUGUCAUGUUUAAAAUGCUAUAAAUAUAUUCAAUUUAUUAACUACAAUAUUUGGUACGACAUACACAAUGAUAUGAUUUGAUACUUUUGUAUGUUAUUAUGUACAUUUUUGCUGCUUCAUGAAUUUUGUGUUUUGUGAUUAUUUUAAUGUUUAAAUUUAGCUGAAAACCCAAUAAUGGGAUGUUUAACGGCAUGUUCCAUUGUGACAACUUACCCCAUGUAGUGUGAUGGCAUGCCUUGCUUUUGGACACAUAUGGUUAUAAUGUGUUCAAUCAAUGGCAUCUUUUUCCCCCAUGGAAAUGUUCAAUAGCUUUUUUGUAGUCAAGACUUUAAGGUAUGUGGCUAUACAGAAAUGGAUGUUCAAGUAUAAACCUACCCAAAGAAUUGUUCACUAGAGUAAAAAGUGUGACAAUUGGCCCCAGUCUCCACUAUACUGAUAAUUGUGUGAUCUAUAUUGCUCUCUGGAUCUCACACUGAAGCACCUAAAAUAAAUCAAACUCUUAUAACUCUGCUCUUUAGUAGGGAACACUGAGAAUGGCAAUUUUGAAAGAUUUUCAUGAGAUCAAGAUUUUCAGUAAGAGAACGGCCUUGACACAAAUAGCCUAAGAUAAAGAGAAAUGAAUGACAAAGAACAGCUAUAAGUAUAGUGCCAGUGCAUGGGCAGCCAAUUGUGCUAUGCAAAGCAUUUCGGCCAAAACGGGUAAUUGUAAGCUGUCAACUGUUUGGCUAUUGCUAUUAGUUACAUGCUUAGAUAUGCAUUUCAUUAAGUAAAUAGGAGUCUUCCUUGAUGAAAAUAUCAAGUACACAGGUUUACAAUAGUGUUUCUUUCAGUCAAUUGAAAUUUAAGCUGGAAAUGUGUAGGUUAGCUUUGACUGAAUAGAACUGCAGUUUGGUCACAGAAAAUAACAUCCAGUUGAGCUACAAAGAGAUAAAAAAUGAGAAACCUCUGCUGGUAUUUUCAAAGGCAACCAUCACUAUUAUAAUUGGUCAUACUAAAGGUUAGGGAUUGAAACAAACCCCAAACCAUAAGUGAUAAACUUUGAGACGUAAUUUGUCCUGCAUGUUUGUGCUACAGACUUUUUACCUCAAAUUUUGCCGCUUGUAUCUAAAAACUACUAGGUGGAAUGUAGUUUUGGUUCAGAGCUUAUUCAAAUCGCUCAGAUAUCAUCGCUAAUACUGACAUCUGUGAAGAACAUCCUGUCACUUCCUGAAAUAUUCUUUUAAUACCUCAGCAUUAAGAUGUUUGCUGACUGUGGGUUAUAUUCUAUCACACAUCUUCCUGUAUCUCAGUGAGAAUGGUGUGCAGUAUUAAAAGCUAAAGGACCUUCACAUUACCAGCAAAAAACAAGAAAGAUUUUUUUUUUCUUUAAAAAAAAUGUGCGUGAUGCAAAACUUGUCGCUGUAAUGCUGAGUUGCUAAGGUGUUAUGAGGGUUUUUAAGUGUUUUGCCAUGCACUUGCUUGGAAGUUGCUAGGGUGUUCUGGGUGGUUGCUUUGUGGCCCAAGUCCCCAUUAGUCUCUGUGUAUAGCUCAAG
Molecule: long non-coding RNA, 5135 nt
Organism: Myxocyprinus asiaticus (Chinese sucker)
Lineage: Eukaryota; Metazoa; Chordata; Actinopteri; Cypriniformes; Catostomidae
Exons: 3
Source: RefSeq, a predicted model, not a curated record